AAUACAUCGGAACGUGCCUAGUAGUGGGGGAUAACUACUCGAAAGAGUGGCUAAUACGCAUGAGAUCUACGGAUGAAAGCAGGGGAUCGCAAGACCUUGUGCUACUAGAGCGGCCGAUGGCAGAUUAGGUAGUUGGUGGGAUAAAAGCUUACCAAGCCGACGAUCUGUAGCUGGUCUGAGAGGACGAUCAGCCACACUGGGACUGAGACACGGCCCAGACUCCUACGGGAGGCAGCAGUGGGGAAUUUUGGACAAUGGGCGCAAGCCUGAUCCAGCAAUGCCGCGUGCAGGAUGAAGGCCUUCGGGUUGUAAACUGCUUUUGUACGGAACGAAAAGCCCUGGGUUAAUACCCUGGGGUCAUGACGGUACCGUAAGAAUAAGCACCGGCUAACUACGUGCCAGCAGCCGCGGUAAUACGUAGGGUGCGAGCGUUAAUCGGAAUUACUGGGCGUAAAGCGUGCGCAGGCGGUUUUGUAAGACAGAGGUGAAAUCCCCGGGCUCAACCUGGGAACUGCCUUUGUGACUGCAAGGCUAGAGUACGGCAGAGGGGGAUGGAAUUCCGCGUGUAGCAGUGAAAUGCGUAGAUAUGCGGAGG
Molecule: ribosomal RNA, 595 nt
Filed under: uncultured bacterium
Lineage: Bacteria
Description: bacterial SSU rRNA
Rfam family: Bacterial small subunit ribosomal RNA
Source: RNAcentral